RNAcentral lists this small RNA (195 nucleotides) under Loxodonta africana (African savanna elephant). RNAcentral's name for it is "7SK RNA (ENSLAFG00000033048.1)". Lineage: Eukaryota; Metazoa; Chordata; Mammalia; Proboscidea; Elephantidae. The record is from RNAcentral.
AGAUGGGGCCGUCUGGCUUCAACAUCUGCCCCUCAUUGGUUGCCAGGGUUGCUUUCCACCAAUUUGACUGGAUGGGUGUCCCCUACCCUCUCUCCCUGCUGUCUUCAUCUCUCUCAGAAGAGUAGUAAAGUGAGGCCGGGGGCACUUCCCUCUCUCAUUCUGGAACAUAAAUAGGUUGGAUUCUCCAAUUUUUCU